ACCAGGCCUUGACAUGCAGAGAACUUUCCAGAGAUGGAUUGGUGCCUUCGGGAACUCUGACACAGGUGCUGCAUGGCUGUCGUCAGCUCGUGUCGUGAGAUGUUGGGUUAAGUCCCGUAACGAGCGCAACCCUUGUCCUUAGUUACCAGCACGUUAUGGUGGGCACUCUAAGGAGACUGCCGGUGACAACCGGAGGAAGGUGGGGAUGACGUCAAGCCAUCAUGGCCCUUACGGCCUGGGCUACACACGUGCUACAAUGGUCGGUACAAAGGGUUGCCAAGCCGCGAGGUGGAGCUAAUCCCAUAAAACCGAUCGUAGUCCGGAUCGCAGUCUGCAACUCGACUGCGUGAAGUCGGAAUCGCUAGUAAUCGUGAAUCAGAAUGUCACGGUGAAUACGUUCCCGGGCCUU
This 409-nucleotide ribosomal RNA is filed under the name uncultured Pseudomonas sp. Its description in RNAcentral is "bacterial SSU rRNA". It matches the Rfam family "Bacterial small subunit ribosomal RNA", at positions 973 to 1382 of the family's 1533-position model. Lineage: Bacteria; Pseudomonadati; Pseudomonadota; Gammaproteobacteria; Pseudomonadales; Pseudomonadaceae. The record is from RNAcentral.